GGAUCUUGGUUGCCGUAGAAGAUCAAUCAGUUUCUCCGCCUUUCGUUUGGCGCGACUGGUUCCGGACUGAGACAAAGCGACGAGGGGAGGAAUGGCUCCUUCGCGAGCCACCAUAGUACGGUACGCCACGCUAUCCUCACAUAUCUGUAACAGAAUGGAAACGGCAAUUUCCUUCUGCCGUUGUGAUCCGACCUCUACGAUCUCUACCAAUACCGGAAUUCCA
RNAcentral lists this unclassified non-coding RNA (223 nucleotides) under Hevea brasiliensis (rubber tree). Lineage: Eukaryota; Viridiplantae; Streptophyta; Magnoliopsida; Malpighiales; Euphorbiaceae. The record is from RNAcentral.